UGUUAGUGGCAGACGGGUGAGUAAUGCGUAGGAAUCUACCUAGUAGUACGGAAUAGCCAUUAGAAAUGGUGGGUAAUACUGUAUAAUCCCCGAGGGGGAAAGAUUUAUCGCUAUUAGAUGAGCCUACGUUAGAUUAGCUAGUUGGUGAGGUAAUGGCUUACCAAGGCUAUGAUCUAUAGCUGGUCUGAGAGGACGAUCAGCCACACUGGAACUGAGAUACGGUCCAGACUCCUACGGGAGGCAGCAGUGGGGAAUAUUGGACAAUGGGCGAAAGCCUGAUCCAGCUAUGCCGCGUGAG
RNAcentral lists this ribosomal RNA (298 nucleotides) under Ehrlichia canis. RNAcentral's name for it is "partial 16S ribosomal RNA". It matches the Rfam family "Bacterial small subunit ribosomal RNA", at positions 90 to 405 of the family's 1533-position model. The record is from RNAcentral. Lineage: Bacteria; Pseudomonadati; Pseudomonadota; Alphaproteobacteria; Rickettsiales; Anaplasmataceae.